Molecule: non-coding RNA, 45 nt
Organism: Schistosoma mattheei
Lineage: Eukaryota; Metazoa; Platyhelminthes; Trematoda; Strigeidida; Schistosomatidae
Source: Rfam
AUCCAGCUGACGAGUCCAAAAUAGGACGAAACGCGCAUCCUGGAU